This 509-nucleotide ribosomal RNA is filed under the name uncultured soil bacterium. RNAcentral describes it as "bacterial SSU rRNA". It matches the Rfam family "Bacterial small subunit ribosomal RNA", at positions 26 to 525 of the family's 1533-position model. The record is from RNAcentral.
AGAUUGAACGCUGGCGGCAUGCCUUACACAUGCAAGUCGAACGGCAGCACGGGAGCAAUCCUGGUGGCGAGUGGCGAACGGGUGAGUAAUAUAUCGGAACGUGCCCAGUCGUGGGGGAUAACGUAGAGAAAUUUACGCUAAUACCGCAUACGAUCCAAGGAUGAAAGCGGGGGACCGUAAGGCCUCGCGCGACUGGAGCGGCUGAUAUCAGAUUAGCUUGUUGGUGAGGUAAAAGCUCACCAAGGCGACGAUCUGUAGCUGGUUUGAGAGAACGACCAGCCACACUGGGACUGAGACACGGCCCAGACUCCUACGGGAGGCAGCAGUGGGGAAUAUUGGACAAGUGGGCGCAAGCCUGAUCCAGCCAUACCGCGUGGGUGAAGAAGGCCUUGGUUGUAAAGCCCUUUUGUUAGGAAGAAAGCAAUUCGGUUAAAUACCCGGUGUUCGUAGUACGUAACCCAAAGAAUAAGGCAACCGGCUAACUUCGUCGCCAGUCAGCCCGCGUAAUC